RNAcentral lists this ribosomal RNA (433 nucleotides) under uncultured bacterium. RNAcentral describes it as "partial 16S ribosomal RNA". It matches the Rfam family "Bacterial small subunit ribosomal RNA", at positions 29 to 507 of the family's 1533-position model. The record is from RNAcentral.
AGCGAACGCUGGCGGCAGGCCUAACACAUGCAAGUCGAACGAACUCUUCGGAGUUAGUGGCGGACGGGUGAGUAACACGUGGGAACGUGCCUUUUGGUUCGGAAUAACUCAGGGAAACUUGUGCUAAUACCGAAUGUGCCCUUCGGGGGAAAGAUUUAUCGCCAUUAGAGCGGCCCGCGUCUGAUUAGCUAGUUGGUGAGGUAACGGCUCACCAAGGCGACGAUCAGUAGCUGGUCUGAGAGGAUGACCAGCCACACUGGGACUGAGACACGGCCCAGACUCCUACGGGAGGCAGCAGUGGGGAAUCUUGCGCAAUGGGCGAAAGCCUGACGCAGCCAUGCCGCGUGAAUGAUGAAGGUCUUAGGAUUGUAAAAUUCUUUCACCGGGGACGAUAAUGACGGUACCAGGAGAAGAAGCCCCGGCUAACUUCGUG